This 81-nucleotide transfer RNA is filed under the name Trichonephila inaurata madagascariensis. Its description in RNAcentral is "tRNA-Thr". Lineage: Eukaryota; Metazoa; Arthropoda; Arachnida; Araneae; Nephilidae. The record is from RNAcentral.
ACUCUGCCGGCCUACCAGUAUUGUGGAUAUGACCCUCGGCUUGUAACCGAGUGGGUUUGGGUUCGAAUCCCGAGUAAAGUA